This 468-nucleotide ribosomal RNA is filed under the name uncultured bacterium. Its description in RNAcentral is "partial 16S ribosomal RNA". It matches the Rfam family "Bacterial small subunit ribosomal RNA", at positions 28 to 507 of the family's 1533-position model. The record is from RNAcentral.
GACGAACGCUGGCGGCGUGCUUAACACAUGCAAGUCGAACGGAAAGGCCCUGCUUUUGUGGGGUGCUCGAGUGGCGAACGGGUGAGUAACACGUGAGUAACCUGCCCUUGACUUUGGGAUAACUUCAGGAAACUGGGGCUAAUACCGGAUAGGAGCUCCUGCUGCAUGGUGGGGGUUGGAAAGUCUCGGCGGUUGGGGAUGGACUCGCGGCUUAUCAGCUUGUUGGUGGGGUAGUGGCUUACCAAGGCUUUGACGGGUAGCCGGCCUGAGAGGGUGACCGGCAACAUUGGGACUGAGAUACGGCCCAGACUCCUACGGGAGGCAGCAGUGGGGAAUAUUGCACAAUGGGCGGAAGCCUGAUGCAGCAACGCCGCGUGCGGGAUGACGGCCUUCGGGUUGUAAACCGCUUUCGCCUGUGACGAAGCGUGAGUGACGGUAAUGGGUAAAGAAGCACCGGCUAACUACGUG